This 253-nucleotide ribosomal RNA is filed under the name uncultured bacterium. RNAcentral describes it as "partial 16S ribosomal RNA". It matches the Rfam family "Bacterial small subunit ribosomal RNA", at positions 524 to 776 of the family's 1533-position model. The record is from RNAcentral.
UACGUAGGGGGCAAGCGUUGUCCGGAUUUAUUGGGCGUAAAGAGCGUGUAGGCGGCCAUACAGGUCCGUUGUGAAAACUGGAGGCUUAACCUCCAGACGUCGAUGGAAACCGUAUGGCUAGAGUUCGGGAGAGGUGAGUGGAACUGCGAGUGUAGAGGUGAAAUUCGUAGAUAUUCGCAAGAACACCAGUGGCGAAGGCGGCUCACUGGCCCGAUACUGACGCUGAGGCACGAAAGCGUGGGGAGCAAACAGG